Molecule: ribosomal RNA, 1299 nt
Filed under: metagenome
Description: bacterial LSU rRNA
Rfam family: Bacterial large subunit ribosomal RNA
Source: RNAcentral
CUACACGACCGUACCGCAAACCGACACUGGUGCGCGAGAUGAGUAUUCUAAGGCGCUUGAGAGAACUCAGGAGAAGGAACUCGGCAAAUUGACACCGUAACUUCGGAAGAAGGUGUGCCUUUAGUAGGUGAACCUGUACAAGGGGAGCCCAAUGAGGUUGCAAAAAAUCGGUGGCUGCGACUGUUUAAUAAAAACACAGCACUCUGCAAACACGAAAGUGGACGUAUAGGGUGUGACGCCUGCCCGGUGCUGGAAGAUUAAAUGAUGGGGUGCAAGCUCUUGAUUGAAGUCCCAGUAAACGGCGGCCGUAACCAUAACGGUCCUAAGGUAGCGAAAUUCCUUGUCGGGUAAGUUCCGACCUGCACGAAUGGCGUAACGAUGGCCACACUGUCUCCUCCUGAGACUCAGCGAAGUUGAAAUGUUUGUGAUGAUGCAAUCUCCCCGCGGAAAGACGGAAAGACCCCAUGAACCUUUACUGUAGCUUUGUAUUGGACUUUGAACAGAUCUGUGUAGGAUAGGUGGGAGGCUUUGAAGUGUGGUCGCUAGAUCGCAUGGAGCCAACGUUGAAAUACCACCCUGGUGUGUUUGAGGUUCUAACCUAGGCCCGUAAUCCGGGUCGGGGACAGUGCAUGGUAGGCAGUUUGACUGGGGCGGUCUCCUCCCAAAGCGUAACGGAGGAGUUCGAAGGUACGCUAGGUACGGUCGGACAUCGUGCUAAUAGUGCAAUGGCAUAAGCGUGCUUAACUGCGAGACUGACAAGUCGAGCAGAUGCGAAAGCAGGACAUAGUGAUCCGGUGGUUCUGUAUGGAAGGGCCAUCGCUCAACGGAUAAAAGGUACUCUGGGGAUAACAGGCUGAUACCGCCCAAGAGUUCAUAUCGACGGCGGUGUUUGGCACCUCGAUGUCGGCUCAUCUCAUCCUGGGGCUGUAGCCGGUCCCAAGGGUAUGGCUGUUCGCCAUUUAAAGAGGUACGUGAGCUGGGUUUAAAACGUCGUGAGACAGUUUGGUCCCUAUCUUCCGUGGGCGCUGCAGAUUUGAGGAAGCCUGCUCCUAGUACGAGAGGACCGGAGUGGACACACCUCUGGUGUAUCGGUUGUCACGCCAGUGGCAUUGCCGAGUAGCUAUGUGUGGAAGAGAUAACCGCUGAAAGCAUCUAAGCGGGAAACUCGUUUCAAGAUGAGAUCUGCCGGGGCCUUGAGCCCCCUAAAGAGUCGUUCAAGACCAGGACGUUGAUAGGUCGGGUGUGGAAGCGCAGUAAUGCGUUAAGCUAACCGAUACUAAUUGCUCGUGCGGCUUGACC